This is a long non-coding RNA of Nomascus leucogenys (northern white-cheeked gibbon), 100 nucleotides long. RefSeq lists it as uncharacterized. NCBI's taxonomy places the organism in Eukaryota, Metazoa, Chordata, Mammalia, Primates, Hylobatidae. The record is from RefSeq and is a predicted model, not a curated record. The transcript is spliced from 3 exons.
UGGGAGUCUGAUUAUUAAAUGCCUUGAGGUAGACUUCUUUGGGCUAAGUCUGCUUGGUGUUCCAUAACCUUCUUAUACAUAGAUAUUUUUCUUCAGGAUU